This 2859-nucleotide ribosomal RNA is filed under the name Branchiostoma belcheri (Belcher's lancelet). RNAcentral's name for it is "eukaryotic LSU rRNA". The stretch from base 325 to 2859 matches the Rfam family "Eukaryotic large subunit ribosomal RNA". Lineage: Eukaryota; Metazoa; Chordata; Leptocardii; Amphioxiformes; Branchiostomatidae. The record is from RNAcentral.
CGUUUGCUCCCCAAGGGAAGCAUGCCCGCGGACGACUUAACAACGUUGUACACAACUCUCAUCAGACCCAUCUUUGAGUAUGCUAACGUUGUGUAUUUCGGAUGCACGAAUAUGGAUACACGAACUCUCAGUCAAACAUUUUCGAAUCCGUGCAAAAAAGGGCCGUGAUGAUAAUAAACCGGAACAGCAGUACCCCGUCGGCAACUCUCCUGCCUACUCUCCAAGCAGCAUCAUGCUAGCAGUAAAACUCUUUGACCAGAUGCGUGCCUGUGAUCACACUCUGCACCACAUGAUCACCAGCGACAGACAACAGCAGACGGGAAGAACUCUACGAAUAGGUUAAACUUGAGGUCCGUCGUGAACGCAUGUAGGAAGGGGGCACAUUUACACAAAACAUAUUCGCGGGGAAAUAGAUUCGCGGUACAAAGGUCACCGCGAAUUCCGCGAAUCUAAAUAUACCUCGGAAAUUUGCAGACUUACAGUAGAUAGAAGAUGUCUCCUUGCAGCACACCUCUUGAGAUUUUUAACAGUUCUGAGAGCCCUUGGUUGCCGUUGGGGCUUGUCACACAGACGCUCCCGGUGUCCACGCUAAAUAUAGCUUAUCUGUUCACCUUGAGACAUGCACCAGCAGGGAUGAGCGCUUAAUCGAGGAAGGGUUGACUUUCAGUUUCAAACGCAGCGGCAUAGCCAAUAAAGGUUUAACUACUGGUUUUGCCUCGCCUCAGGACGAAGACAUUGUCGCGAGUGUCCCUUGAGGCUCUGAAACCAUCCUGCGUGUCUGGGAUCAGUGGUAUAGGAGCGGAAGACUAAUCGCAUUUUCUAGUAGCUGGUUCCCUCCGAAGUCUCUUUAGGAUAGUUGGCACUUUGUCGCAGUUUUGUCUCAUAAAGCGAAUGAUUAGAGGUCUUGGGGGCGAAACUACCUAUCAUCAAACUUUCAAUUGGUAAAUCGUCCAACUCGCUCGAGUGGAGCCGAGCCUGGAAUGUGCUCAGUGGGCCACUAUUGGUAAGGAAAACUGGCGCUGCGGGGUAACCGAAGGCAGGGUUAGGGUGCCCGAUGCGCACGCUCAUCAGAAAAGGUGUUGGUUGAUACAGACAGCAGGACGGUGGCCAUGGAAGUCGGAAUCCGCUAAGGAGUGUGUAACAACUCACCUGCCGAAUCAACUAGCCCUGAAAAUGGACGGCGCUGGAGCGUCGAGCCCAUACCCGGCCGUCGCGGCAGUCCGCUCCGGCCGAGCCAGGCCGCGACAAGUAGGAGGGCCGCAGCGGUGAGUGCCAAAGCCUUGGACGCGAGCCCGGGUUGAGGCGCCGCAGGUGCAGAUCUUGGUGGUAGUAGCAAAUAUUCAAAUGAGAACUUUGAAGACCAAAGCGGAGAAUGGUUGUGAACAGCAUUUGGAAAUGGGUCAGUCGGUCCUAAACGUUAGGCGAAGCUUCAAACACCGUUUGAAAGUGUGGCGCUGGCCGCCCGGCCUAUUGAAAGAAAACGUUCCCGACCUCGACCGCGGAGAAUGGCGCCAGGCCUUAUGCCAGGUCGCCCGGUGCGGCAACGCAAACCGACUCGGAGACGUCGGCCUGGGACCCGGGAAGAGUUCUCUUUUCUUUGCAAUGGGCGCGUGCCCUGGAAUCGGUUCGCCCGGAGAUAGGGAAAGCACUGCGGCUCUUGCGGUGUCCGGUGCGCUCAGGUCGGCCCUUUAAAAAUCUGCGGGAGAGGCGUGCGAUUUUCGCGUCUUUCCGUACUCAUAACUGCAGCAGGCAUCUCCCUCAGAUUUUUAAAGGACCGACCUCUAGUCGAUUAUAGAACAAUGUAGGUAAAGGAAGUCGGCACGCCGGAUCCAUAAUUUCGGGAGAAGGAUUGGCUCUAAGGGCUGGGCCGGUCGGGCUGGGACCAGAAGCGAGACGGGAAUGUCCGGGGCUGGGCGAAGCCCGCUCGUCGUGUCGAUCCCGGACCUAGCAACGUGACUGAAUCUUGGACUGCCUCAGCUGUGCGGUCGGGGGCUUGCUCUCCCGCUCCUCUUCGGCCAGUUCGACUGUUUGAUUAAAACGUUGCGAUGACCGUCAGGUGGUGUUGACGCAAUGUGAUUUCUGCCCAGUGCUCUAAAUGUCGAAGUGAAGAAAUUCAACCAAGCGCCGGGAGUAAAUAUGACUCUCAUAAGGUAGCCAAAUCCCUCGUCAUCUAAUUAUAGACACGCAAGAAUGGAUUAACGAGAGUCCCACUGCACCGUGCCCACUGUCCCUAUUUACAACCUCAGAAACCAAAAUCCAAGGGAACGGGCUUGGCAGAAUCAGCGGGGAAAGAAGACCCUGUUGAGCUUGACUCUAGUCCGACUCUGUGAAGGGACAUGAAAGGUGUAGCAUAGGUAUGAGGCCCUCGGGCCGUCGGUGAACUACCACUACUCUCAUCGUUUCUUUACUUACUGGGUGAGGCGGAAAGCGAGCCCCUCGCGAACUUUCCCUUCUGGCGUUAAGCGCACCGACUGGCCGCGGUCGUAGCGGUCGUCAGCCGGGCGCGAUCUGCUACCAAUACAGUGUCAGGCGGGCAGUUUUCCUAUCAUUGUGUAGCAGAAUUCACCAAGCGUUGGAUUGUUCACCCACUUAUAGGGAACGUGAGCUGGGUUUAGACCGUCGUGAGACAGGUUAGUUUUACCCUACUGAUGAAGUGUUGUUGCGAUGGCAAUCCUGCUCAGUACGAGAGAAACCGCAGGUUCAGACAUUUGGUUCAGGCGCUCGGCUGAUGAGCCGGUGGUGCGAGGCUACCAGGGAUUAUGACUGAACACCUCUAAGUCAGAAUCCCGCCCAGAAAACAACGAAACGCUUAGCGCCCCCUUUGGAAUGACAGGCGUAAGGCCUGGAAGAGCCACUUGC